GUAUGGGAUGGGGAUGCGUUCCAUUAGUUAGUUGGCGGGGUAACGGCCCACCAAGACAACGAUGGAUAGGGGUUCUGAGAGGAAGGUCCCCCACAUUGGAACUGAGACACGGUCCAAACUCCUACGGGAGGCAGCAGUGAGGAAUAUUGGUCAAUGGACGAGAGUCUGAACCAGCCAAGUAGCGUGAAGGAUGACUGCCCUAUGGGUUGUAAACUUCUUUUAUAUGGGAAUAAAACGUUCCACGUGUGGAAUUUUGUAUGUACCAUAUGAAUAAGGAUCGGCUAACUCCGUGCCAGCAGCCGCGGUAAUACGGAGGAUCCGAGCGUUAUCCGGAUUUAUUGGGUUUAAAGGGAGCGUAGGUGGAUUGUUAAGUCAGUUGUGAAAGUUUGCGGCUCAACCGUAAAAUUGCAGUUGAAACUGGCAGUCUUGAGUACAGUAGAGGUGGGCGGAAUUCGUGGUGUAGCGGUGAAAUGCUUAGAUAUCACGAAGAACUCCGAUUGCGAAGGCAGCUCACUGGACUGCAACUGACACUGAGGCUCGAAAGUGUGGGUAUCAAACAGGAUUAGAUACCCUGGUAGUCCACACAGUAAACGAUGAAUACUCGCUGUUUGCGAUAUACAGCAAGCGGC
RNAcentral lists this ribosomal RNA (629 nucleotides) under uncultured bacterium. Its description in RNAcentral is "bacterial SSU rRNA". It matches the Rfam family "Bacterial small subunit ribosomal RNA", at positions 218 to 847 of the family's 1533-position model. The record is from RNAcentral.